UGUCUCAGUACAAGCCAAAUUAAGGUGAAACCGCGAAAGGCUCAUUAANUCAGUUAUGGUUCCUUAGAUCGUACCCACACUUACUUGGAUAACUGUGGUAAUUCUAGAGCUAAUACAUGCAAACAGAGCUCCGACCGGAGACGGAAGGAGCGCUUUUAUUAGAUCAAAACCAAUCGGUGGCGGGUUCGCUCGUCAUCGUAUAACUUGGUGACUCUGAAUAACUUUAAGCUGAUCGCACGGUCUAGCACCGGCGACGCAUCUUUCAAAUGUCUGCCUUAUCAACUGUCGAUGGUAGGUUCUGCGCCUACCAUGGUCGUAACGGGUAACGGGGAAUCAGGGUUCGAUUCCGGAGAGGGAGCCUGAGAAACGGCUACCACAUCCAAGGAAGGCAGCAGGCGCGCAAAUUACCCACUCCCGGCACGGGGAGGUAGUGACGAAAAAUAACGAUACGGGACUCAUCCGAGGCCCCGUAAUCGGAAUGAGUACACUCUAAACCCUUUAACGAGGAUCAAUUGGAGGGCAAGUCUGGUGCCAGCAGCCGCGGUAAUUCCAGCUCCAAUAGCGUAUAUUAAAGU
This 575-nucleotide ribosomal RNA is filed under the name Tarsostenodes guttulus. RNAcentral's name for it is "SSU rRNA". It matches the Rfam family "Eukaryotic small subunit ribosomal RNA", at positions 56 to 610 of the family's 1831-position model. Lineage: Eukaryota; Metazoa; Arthropoda; Insecta; Coleoptera; Cleridae. The record is from RNAcentral.